UUUAAGAAAACAGGGAGCAGGUAUCAGGCACACACUCGUAGCCCAAAACACCUUGCUCAGCCACGCCCCCAAGGGAAUUCAGCAGUGAUUAAUAUUAGCAAAUAAACGAAAGUUUGACCUAGUUACAGUUGCACAGAGUCGGCCAAUCUCGUGCCAGCCGCCGCGGUUAUACGAGCGACUCGAAUUAAUAAAAAAACGGCGUAAAGAGUGCAUAAGAAUAGCCCUUCCCCCAUUAAAACUGAAGUGGUGCCUAACUGUUAUACGUACUCGCACCAAUGAAAAACAAUUACGAAAGUAAUUUUAUAAAAAAUAGACCUCUUAAAACACGAUAGCUAAAGAACAAACUGGGAUUAGAUACCCCACUAUGUUUGGCCCUAAACCUAGGUAUUUACUUACCCAAAUACCCGCCAGAGAACUACAAGCGCCAGCUUGAAACCCAAAGGACUUGGCGGUGCCUUAGACCCCCCUAGAGGAGCCUGUUCUAGAACCGAUAAUCCCCGUUCAACCUCACCAUCUCUUGCUAUUACAGCCUAUAUACCGCCGUCGCCAGCUUGCCCUAUGAAGGACAAACAGCAAGCAAAAAGAAUUGACCUCCAAAACGUCAGGUCGAGGUGUAGCUUAUGAGAUGGGAAGAAAUGAGCUACAUUUUCUACCAAGAUCAACAGAUAAACAAUGAAAUCAAAAUUGAAGUUGGAUUUAGCAGUAAGAGAUAAAUAGUAUAUUAAUCUG
This 729-nucleotide ribosomal RNA is filed under the name Harriotta raleighana (Pacific longnose chimaera). RNAcentral describes it as "partial 12S ribosomal RNA". It matches the Rfam family "Bacterial small subunit ribosomal RNA", at positions 291 to 1364 of the family's 1533-position model. Lineage: Eukaryota; Metazoa; Chordata; Chondrichthyes; Chimaeriformes; Rhinochimaeridae. The record is from RNAcentral.